Molecule: ribosomal RNA, 491 nt
Filed under: uncultured bacterium
Lineage: Bacteria
Description: partial 16S ribosomal RNA
Rfam family: Bacterial small subunit ribosomal RNA
Source: RNAcentral
GAUGAACGCUGGCUACAGGCUUAACACAUGCAAGUCGAGGGGAAACGACGGGGAAGCUUGCUUCCCCGGGCGUCGACCGGCGCACGGGUGAGUAACGCGUAUCCAACCUGCCUCUGACUGAGGGAUAACCCGUCGAAAGUCGGCCUAAUACCUCAUGGCAUCGUCUGCGGGCAUCCAACGACGAUUAAAGAUUUCAUCGGUCAGGGAUGGGGAUGCGUCUGAUUAGCUUGUUGGCGGGGUAACGGCCCACCAAGGCUACGAUCAGUAGGGGUUCUGAGAGGAAGGUCCCCCACAUUGGAACUGAGACACGGUCCAAACUCCUACGGGAGGCAGCAGUGUGGAAUAUUGGUCAAUGGGCGGGAGCCUGAACCAGCCAAGUAGCGUGCAGGAGGACGGCCCUAUGGGUUGUAAACUGCUUUUAUGCGGGGAUAAAGUGAGGGACGUGUCCUUCAUUGCAGGUACCGCAUGAAUAAGGACCGGCUAAUUCCGUG